UCAGGUCUCCAAGGUGAA
Molecule: small nuclear RNA, 18 nt
Filed under: Arabidopsis thaliana (thale cress)
Lineage: Eukaryota; Viridiplantae; Streptophyta; Magnoliopsida; Brassicales; Brassicaceae
Description: snRNA_09477
Source: RNAcentral